CGGCGGACGGGUGAGUAACGCGUAGGAAUCUGCCCAAUAGUGGGGGAUAGCCCGGGGAAACUCGGAUUAAUACCGCAUACGCCCUACGGGGAAAGCAGGGGAUCUUCGGACCUUGUGCUAUUGGAUGAGCCUGCGUUGGAUUAGCUAGUUGGUAGGGUAAGGGCCUACCAAGGCGACGAUCCAUAGCUGGUCUGAGAGGAUGAUCAGCCACACUGGAACUGAGACACGGUCCAG
This 234-nucleotide ribosomal RNA is filed under the name uncultured bacterium. RNAcentral's name for it is "partial 16S ribosomal RNA". It matches the Rfam family "Bacterial small subunit ribosomal RNA", at positions 96 to 334 of the family's 1533-position model. The record is from RNAcentral.